GGGAGUGGCUCAACGGUAGGGCGUCACCUUCCCAAGGUGAAUGUUGCGGGUUCGAGUCCCGUCUUCCG
This 68-nucleotide transfer RNA is filed under the name uncultured Monoglobus sp. It matches the Rfam family "tRNA". From Rfam's summary of the family: Transfer RNA (tRNA) molecules are approximately 80 nucleotides in length. Their secondary structure includes four short double-helical elements and three loops (D, anti-codon, and T loops). The record is from RNAcentral. Lineage: Bacteria; Bacillati; Bacillota; Clostridia; Monoglobales; Monoglobaceae.